GUCGAGAAUCAUUCACAAUGGGGGAAACCCUGAUGGAGCGACGCCGCGUGGAGGAUAAGGUCUUCGGAUUGUAAACUCCUGUCAUGCGUGAACAAGGUUGCUUGGUUAAUACCUGGGCAAAUUGAUGGUAACGCAAGAGGAAGAGACGGCUAACUCUGUGCCAGCAGCCGCGGUAAUACAGAGGUCUCAAGCGUUGUUCGGAAUCACUGGGCGUAAAGGGUGCGUAGGUGGCGUGGUAAGUCAGAUGUGAAAGCCCGGGGCUCAACCUCGGAACUGCAUCCGAUACUGCCAUGCUAGAGUACUGGAGAGGUGACUAGAAUUCUCGGUGUAGCAGUGAAAUGCGUAGAUAUCGAGAGGAAUACCAAAGGCGUAGGCAGGUCACUGGACAGUUACUGACACUGAGGCACGAAGGCCAGGGGAGCGAACGGGAUUAGAUACCCUGGUAGUCC
Molecule: ribosomal RNA, 449 nt
Filed under: uncultured bacterium
Lineage: Bacteria
Description: partial 16S ribosomal RNA
Rfam family: Bacterial small subunit ribosomal RNA
Source: RNAcentral